Long non-coding RNA from Vicia villosa (hairy vetch), 277 nucleotides. RefSeq lists it as uncharacterized. Lineage: Eukaryota; Viridiplantae; Streptophyta; Magnoliopsida; Fabales; Fabaceae. The transcript is spliced from 3 exons. The record is from RefSeq and is a predicted model, not a curated record.
CGAAGGCAUGGCAUUGGUGAAGCACGCCGAAGAUGCUGCAAGUAACAAAAAGUACAUGUUCAACAAGUUAGAGCUUCAUGUACUCAUUUUAGGGAUUGACAAGGCUGGCAAAACGACUUUGCUUGAGAAGAUGAAGUCGGUGUACACGAAUGUAGAAGGUCUUCCUCUGGAUCGAAUUGUGGAAAGCAAUUGCUUCUCCAGGGCGUGGUAUUUUGGCCAUGGAUGAAUCCAAUGCUACAUGUGGAAAGCGGUUGGAUUCAAUUGGACUAGAGAACAC